AAGAAAGUUAAAAAUAUAUAUAUAAAAUGGCAAGGGAGGGAUGAGAAAACCAUACAACAUAUUAAAUAUUUAUAAAAGUUUUAAAAGAUGCUAAUGAUGUGGUGUGUUUAGUUUCAAUAAGCAGAGUGUCCCACAGUCUGGGGGCUUUACAAGCAAAGGCCUGGUCACCUUUGGUCACAAGCAUAGACUGUAUAUAAGAAGUGGAUAAGGAGACUGUUUUGUGGUCUGCCGUGUUGAAGCCUCGAGUUCGGCAUGUUGGCCGUCUCCAUCUUGUUUUUUUGCAACCAGAAAUUAAAUGAAAAGGUGGCGCUAAGUAGAACUGAAUGCUGAACAAGACAUUUUUAGGGGAACAAAAAAGAUUUAACACCAUUGAGACAGGAGAGGAGGUUAACUAAGCUGCUGGAGUCCCUGGACUGGAGAGGAACAUAUAGCUGUGUGUCAACCACAUUACAAUGAUGGGAGACACUGUGAUACAGAAUGAUUUUGGCUGAGAGGAAGCACAUAUACUAAAAAAAACUAAAAAAAACAGAAGGCAGGAGGAGAGACAGGUAAGAAAAGAAGGAAGAAAUAAACAACAAACAAAUGUCUAAAGGCAACUGCAUGAAAAUGUUCAAUAAAGUAACUACUUUUAGACACCAA
Long non-coding RNA from Sebastes umbrosus (honeycomb rockfish), 639 nucleotides. RefSeq lists it as uncharacterized. NCBI's taxonomy places the organism in Eukaryota, Metazoa, Chordata, Actinopteri, Perciformes, Sebastidae. The record is from RefSeq and is a predicted model, not a curated record. The transcript is spliced from 2 exons.